RNAcentral lists this ribosomal RNA (253 nucleotides) under uncultured bacterium. Its description in RNAcentral is "partial 16S ribosomal RNA". It matches the Rfam family "Bacterial small subunit ribosomal RNA", at positions 524 to 776 of the family's 1533-position model. The record is from RNAcentral.
GACGAACCGUGCGAACGUUGUUCGGAUUCACUGGGCUUAAAGGGCGCGUAGGCGGGUCUUCAAGUCCGGGGUGAAAUACUCUCGCUCAACGAGAGAACUGCCCCGGAUACUGGAGACCUCGAGGGAGGUAGGGGCAUGUGGAACUUCCGGUGGAGCGGUGAAAUGCGUAGAGAUCGGGAGGAACAUCUGUGGCGAAGGCGGGUUGCUGGGCCGACACUGACGCUGAGGCGCGAAAGCCAGGGGAGCGAACGGG